CAACUUUUGACCUCGGAUCAGGUAGGGAUACCCGCUGAACUUAAGCAUA
Molecule: ribosomal RNA, 49 nt
Filed under: Alternaria sp.
Lineage: Eukaryota; Fungi; Ascomycota; Dothideomycetes; Pleosporales; Pleosporaceae
Description: partial 28S ribosomal RNA
Source: RNAcentral